This 2793-nucleotide ribosomal RNA is filed under the name Escherichia coli. Its description in RNAcentral is "partial 23S ribosomal RNA". It matches the Rfam family "Bacterial large subunit ribosomal RNA". The record is from RNAcentral. Lineage: Bacteria; Pseudomonadati; Pseudomonadota; Gammaproteobacteria; Enterobacterales; Enterobacteriaceae.
GGUUAAGCGACUAAGCGUACACGGUGGAUGCCCUGGCAGUCAGAGGCGAUGAAGGACGUGCUAAUCUGCGAUAAGCGUCGGUAAGGUGAUAUGAACCGUUAUAACCGGCGAUUUCCGAAUGGGGAAACCCAGUGUGAUUCGUCACACUAUCAUUAACUGAAUCCAUAGGUUAAUGAGGCGAACCGGGGGAACUGAAACAUCUAAGUACCCCGAGGAAAAGAAAUCAACCGAGAUUCCCCCAGUAGCGGCGAGCGAACGGGGAGCAGCCCAGAGCCUGAAUCAGUGUGUGUGUUAGUGGAAGCGUCUGGAAAGGCGCGCGAUACAGGGUGACAGCCCCGUACACAAAAAUGCACAUGCUGUGAGCUCGAUGAGUAGGGCGGGACACGUGGUAUCCUGUCUGAAUAUGGGGGGACCAUCCUCCAAGGCUAAAUACUCCUGACUGACCGAUAGUGAACCAGUACCGUGAGGGAAAGGCGAAAAGAACCCCGGCGAGGGGAGUGAAAAAGAACCUGAAACCGUGUACGUACAAGCAGUGGGAGCACGCUUAGGCGUGUGACUGCGUACCUUUUGUAUAAUGGGUCAGCGACUUAUAUUCUGUAGCAAGGUUAACCGAAUAGGGGAGCCGAAGGGAAACCGAGUCUUAACUGGGCGUUAAGUUGCAGGGUAUAGACCCGAAACCCGGUGAUCUAGCCAUGGGCAGGUUGAAGGUUGGGUAACACUAACUGGAGGACCGAACCGACUAAUGUUGAAAAAUUAGCGGAUGACUUGUGGCUGGGGGUGAAAGGCCAAUCAAACCGGGAGAUAGCUGGUUCUCCCCGAAAGCUAUUUAGGUAGCGCCUCGUGAAUUCAUCUCCGGGGGUAGAGCACUGUUUCGGCAAGGGGGUCAUCCCGACUUACCAACCCGAUGCAAACUGCGAAUACCGGAGAAUGUUAUCACGGGAGACACACGGCGGGUGCUAACGUCCGUCGUGAAGAGGGAAACAACCCAGACCGCCAGCUAAGGUCCCAAAGUCAUGGUUAAGUGGGAAACGAUGUGGGAAGGCCCAGACAGCCAGGAUGUUGGCUUAGAAGCAGCCAUCAUUUAAAGAAAGCGUAAUAGCUCACUGGUCGAGUCGGCCUGCGCGGAAGAUGUAACGGGGCUAAACCAUGCACCGAAGCUGCGGCAGCGACGCUUAUGCGUUGUUGGGUAGGGGAGCGUUCUGUAAGCCUGUGAAGGUGUGCUGUGAGGCAUGCUGGAGGUAUCAGAAGUGCGAAUGCUGACAUAAGUAACGAUAAAGCGGGUGAAAAGCCCGCUCGCCGGAAGACCAAGGGUUCCUGUCCAACGUUAAUCGGGGCAGGGUGAGUCGACCCCUAAGGCGAGGCCGAAAGGCGUAGUCGAUGGGAAACAGGUUAAUAUUCCUGUACUUGGUGUUACUGCGAAGGGGGGACGGAGAAGGCUAUGUUGGCCGGGCGACGGUUGUCCCGGUUUAAGCGUGUAGGCUGGUUUUCCAGGCAAAUCCGGAAAAUCAAGGCUGAGGCGUGAUGACGAGGCACUACGGUGCUGAAGCAACAAAUGCCCUGCUUCCAGGAAAAGCCUCUAAGCAUCAGGUAACAUCAAAUCGUACCCCAAACCGACACAGGUGGUCAGGUAGAGAAUACCAAGGCGCUUGAGAGAACUCGGGUGAAGGAACUAGGCAAAAUGGUGCCGUAACUUCGGGAGAAGGCACGCUGAUAUGUAGGUGAAGUCCCUCGCGGAUGGAGCUGAAAUCAGUCGAAGAUACCAGCUGGCUGCAACUGUUUAUUAAAAACACAGCACUGUGCAAACACGAAAGUGGACGUAUACGGUGUGACGCCUGCCCGGUGCCGGAAGGUUAAUUGAUGGGGUUAGCGCAAGCGAAGCUCUUGAUCGAAGCCCCGGUAAACGGCGGCCGUAACUAUAACGGUCCUAAGGUAGCGAAAUUCCUUGUCGGGUAAGUUCCGACCUGCACGAAUGGCGUAAUGAUGGCCAGGCUGUCUCCACCCGAGACUCAGUGAAAUUGAACUCGCUGUGAAGAUGCAGUGUACCCGCGGCAAGACGGAAAGACCCCGUGAACCUUUACUAUAGCUUGACACUGAACAUUGAGCCUUGAUGUGUAGGAUAGGUGGGAGGCUUUGAAGUGUGGACGCCAGUCUGCAUGGAGCCGACCUUGAAAUACCACCCUUUAAUGUUUGAUGUUCUAACGUUGACCCGUAAUCCGGGUUGCGGACAGUGUCUGGUGGGUAGUUUGACUGGGGCGGUCUCCUCCUAAAGAGUAACGGAGGAGCACGAAGGUUGGCUAAUCCUGGUCGGACAUCAGGAGGUUAGUGCAAUGGCAUAAGCCAGCUUGACUGCGAGCGUGACGGCGCGAGCAGGUGCGAAAGCAGGUCAUAGUGAUCCGGUGGUUCUGAAUGGAAGGGCCAUCGCUCAACGGAUAAAAGGUACUCCGGGGAUAACAGGCUGAUACCGCCCAAGAGUUCAUAUCGACGGCGGUGUUUGGCACCUCGAUGUCGGCUCAUCACAUCCUGGGGCUGAAGUAGGUCCCAAGGGUAUGGCUGUUCGCCAUUUAAAGUGGUACGCGAGCUGGGUUUAGAACGUCGUGAGACAGUUCGGUCCCUAUCUGCCGUGGGCGCUGGAGAACUGAGGGGGGCUGCUCCUAGUACGAGAGGACCGGAGUGGACGCAUCACUGGUGUUCGGGUUGUCAUGCCAAUGGCACUGCCCGGUAGCUAAAUGCGGAAGAGAUAAGUGCUGAAAGCAUCUAAGCACGAAACUUGCCCCGAGAUGAGUUCUCCCUGAC